RNAcentral lists this ribosomal RNA (253 nucleotides) under uncultured bacterium. Its description in RNAcentral is "partial 16S ribosomal RNA". It matches the Rfam family "Bacterial small subunit ribosomal RNA", at positions 524 to 776 of the family's 1533-position model. The record is from RNAcentral.
UACAGAGGGUGCAAGCGUUAAUCGGAAUUACUGGGCGUAAAGCGCACGUAGGCGGUUUUUUAAGUCAGAUGUGAAAGCCCCGGGCUCAACCUGGGAAUUGCAUUUGAAACUGGGAAACUAGAGUGUGUGAGAGGGGGGUAGAAUUCCAAGUGUAGCGGUGAAAUGCGUAGAGAUUUGGAGGAAUACCAGUGGCGAAGGCGGCCCCCUGGCACAAUACUGACGCUCAGGUGCGAAAGCGUGGGGAGCAAACAGG